Long non-coding RNA from Stylophora pistillata, 2817 nucleotides. RefSeq lists it as uncharacterized. The record is from RefSeq and is a predicted model, not a curated record. Lineage: Eukaryota; Metazoa; Cnidaria; Anthozoa; Scleractinia; Pocilloporidae.
CCUGUGAAAGGAAGUUCGAAGGCUAUACAUCACAAGAAACACGUCGAACAUCAAAUUCUUCGUUUUCAGGUGGCGUCAUACCAAUUGCGAACACCGGUAUUCAAAAGUUCUGGUGGACAAACAGACUAGGGACCUUAAGCAAAGUCGACGAAAAGGACGACGACGACGACGACGACGACGACGACGACGAAUAUGUCUGCGCGAAGUCUGGGUCGAGACUGUUGUUCACUGGUAAAAAAAGGGCGGGAAAAAGCGAACUUAAGCUGCUCUCGACGUGAACGUGACCGUAAACAAAUGAAAAAAAUUUUUUGAAAUCUCCAGUUUUACCAUUACGGUUUCUUUUCACGAACUUCAGGAGCUUUUUUCUCCUUAGCCACUUCCAUGGAUAUUUAAAUGAUGAAGAACUGUUGCUGUUAUACGAAGAAUACUAUCCAAAAAAUCCAGAUUUUCCUUACGAGAAUUGUGGCAGGUUUUCACUCGAAGACAUGAACGAUUCAGAGGGUGUGGCACAAUUUAGAUUCAGAAUACAUAACCUUUCAUUACUCGCAGAGGUCCUCCAAAUUCCAGAUAGCUUUACGUGCUACCACAGAUCCGGCCAGAAUAAUCGCCUAAACAAAUUUUUUACAACUCUUGAAAUUGAACCUACGUGGUUCAAUUAAAGAAGUGCCUACAAAAAGAAAGAAAAAUAAAGCGAUUUACAAAACGUUACGGCCAAAACUAUGAUGAAAAAAUAUUUCUUGCUAAUUUAGAUGGCAUAUUCCUAAAUUAUUUCGGUUUUCUGGGGACAAAAACUUUCAAACGGAGAAAAAAAUAGCCCAAUGAAUACUCACGUUCACUAGUCGACGUAAAAAUGCACGAUUUUACGUUCUCAACUUCCAGUGGACAACGAGCGGUGGACAGUGGAGUGGCAUCGUGACAUGCGCACUAUCCCUUGAUAAUGUAAAAUUACUUCCGGCUCGUCGUCGUCGUCCUUUUCGUCGACCUCGCUUAAGGUCCAUACUAGGGACUUUAAGAUAUCUGGACCGCUGACCUCGAGGACGGUAAUAUUAGGCGCAGAGGACUGGGCCGAAACCGACGUUCUUGGCGAGAAACUUUCUAGGUUAAGGAGCGGGUUGUUUGAACGGAGGACGGCAGUGAACCUGAAGUUUCUAGCUCUUUUCGUAAAUCAUGGCAUAUUUUAAAAAGACUCGCGAAAUGAUUGUUAUUGCUUACGCAGAAAAGCUACUGACCGACGAAGAGUUCCUGUUUCUGUACGAAGCUAAUAAGCCAGUUAAUUUAGAGCUGCCAUACUACGAGUGCGAAGAAUUUAACUCAUGGCUGAACAUUUAUGAUGAAUAGCAGUAAUUUACGUGAUACAUGGAGUGACCAAAAUAAUUCUGGAAACAGAUGCCAGAAAAUUCAAUUUCAUUCAAGUUUAGUUGACAUAUUCGCCAUCACUGCGAAGCACAGCAAACAAACACUCAUUCGCGAUGGUAUUUUACACUUCAAUUUUUUAACUUUUGUUUAUCAGAACAAGAAAUAACAGUAAGGACAGCCUUUUCAAUUGAAAAAUAAUGAAUUUUAAAAGAAAUGCUCGUCAAAUGUGCUUACGUUCACUUGUGGACGGCAAAUCUCCAAUUCUGAAGUCCUCGACAACAACUGGACGGCAACACGUGUUGUGCAGACAUGCGCAAUACAGUCUACACGUGUAAAAUUACUUCCGGUCAGUAGUCCUCUGAAACAGCCGUCCAGGUAUCUUGAAGUCCCUACUAUCUUCAGGUGGACGAAACAAAGCGCUGAGUCAGAGGUCACCAAUAUUCUUUGUUCUUCUAAACACUUUUUUAAUGGAUUAUCUUUGUGCGGUUAAGAACUGUGGUCAUAAUAGUGUAAGGGACAAAGGGGUGUAUCCAUUUUUUCGACUUCCAGGCAUCGAGAUAUCCCAAGUAGAGGCCAUACACAAACUUUGCAUAGAGUGAAGACGCCUCUGGUUCGUUCGUAUUUUCAGGAUCUGGACGAAAAAGCCAUUGAAAAUACUUGCGUUUGUAGCGAUCACUUUAGAAAAGGGGAACCAGCUUGUUUUAAAUCUGCAACAGACCCAGUUUGGGCACCAUCGUUAAAGCUAGGACAUAACAAUAUUACUGAAAAGGACAUUGAAAAAGCAAUACGUAAUGAUCGGGCAGAACAUCGCGAGACAAAGAAGAGGAAAAUCUAAGAAGAACAAGAAGAAGCAGAGGCUUUGGCUGCUAGAAAUUAAGCGGGAAGACCUGAAGCCGAACGACUAGAGGCUGAAAGACUUGAGGCUGAAAAGGUUUAAUCAGAGCAAAAUAACGCCUCUAAAAUAUCUAUGGACACGUCAGAACCUCAUGUUGUCGAUCAGCAAUGCCAGACAGAUACAACUGGUGAAUUAUUGGACAUGCUGAAUAAGUAUAUGCAUGACUUACAACGACAGCUUAGUAAAAUGAAGAGUCAACUACUGUUUUCAUGUCAAUUUAACGAAGACAGUGUCAGGGAAGAUACUUGGUCCGUAUACUAUUUACCCAUUCCGAUAUGAAGAAAUCAUGAGCAUCCAUUGAUUUCCAAGCCUUCAUUUCUUGCCCGGUUUUCCACGAGGUUUGGAUGACUAGGUAGUUGACAAUAUCGGGAUAUGUAAUACUUGGCUAAUACUUGUAAUACUUGCAAUCCGCUUUUUUUAACAAGUAGGGAUCGAACCCCAAAUAUGUACCUUUUCAUAAUAACUUACCUUCGUAGGACCGUUCAAAGUUGAGUAAUACUCGGAAAGUGAUAUAGAAUUGCAAGAAUUCACAGGCGCAGACGCCAAUUUAUUUUUUUUUUUUUUUU